This 497-nucleotide ribosomal RNA is filed under the name uncultured bacterium. Its description in RNAcentral is "partial 16S ribosomal RNA". It matches the Rfam family "Bacterial small subunit ribosomal RNA", at positions 28 to 507 of the family's 1533-position model. The record is from RNAcentral.
GAUGAACGCUGGCGGCGUGCCUAAUACAUGCAAGUCGAGCGAACAGACGAGGAGCUUGCUCCUCUGACGUUAGCGGCGGACGGGUGAGUAACACGUGGAUAACCUACCUAUAAGACUGGGAUAACUUCGGGAAACCGGAGCUAAUACCGGAUAAUAUAUUGAACCGCAUGGUUCAAUAGUGAAGGACGGUUUUGCUGUCACUUAUAGAUGGAUCCGCGCCGCAUUAGCUAGUUGGUAAGGUAACGGCUUACCAAGGCGACGAUGCGUAGCCGACCUGAGAGGGUGAUCGGCCACACUGGAACUGAGACACGGUCCAGACUCCUACGGGAGGCAGCAGUAGGGAAUCUUCCGCAAUGGGCGAAAGCUUGACGGAGCAACGCCGCGUGAGUGAUGAAGGUCUUCGGAUCGUAAAACUCUGUUAUUAGGGAAGAACAAAUGUGGAAGUAACUAUGCACGUCUUGACGGUACCUAAUCAGAAAGCCACGGCUAACUACGUG